AUUGAACGCUGGCGGCAGGCCUAACACAUGCAAGUCGAGCGAGCGGCGGACGGGUGAGUAAUGUAUGGGGAACUGCCUGAUGGAGGGGGAUAACUACUGGAAACGGUGGCUAAUACCGCAUACCAUCGGAUGUGCCCAUAUGGGAUUAGCUAGUAGGUGGGGUAAAGGCUCACCUAGGCGACGAUCUCUAGCUGGUCUGAGAGGAUGAUCAGCCACACUGGGACUGAGACACGGCCCAGACUCCUACGGGAGGCAGCAGUGGGGAAUAUUGCACAAUGGGCGCAAGCCUGAUGCAGCCAUGCCGCGUGUAUGAAGAAGGCCUUAGGGUUGUAAAGCACUUUCAGCGGGGAGGCGUUACCCGCAGAAGAAGCACCGGCUAACUCCGUGCCAGCAGCCGCGGUAAUUC
This 406-nucleotide ribosomal RNA is filed under the name uncultured bacterium. RNAcentral's name for it is "partial 16S ribosomal RNA". It matches the Rfam family "Bacterial small subunit ribosomal RNA", at positions 30 to 526 of the family's 1533-position model. The record is from RNAcentral.